UACGUAGGUCCCGAGCGUUGUCCGGAUUUAUUGGGCGUAAAGCGAGCGCAGGUGGUUUAAUAAGUCUGAUGUAAAAGGCAGUGGCUCAACCAUUGUGUGCAUUGGAAACUGUUAGACUUGAGUGCAGUAGAGGAGAGUGGAAUUCCAUGUGUAGCGGUGAAAUGCGUAGAUAUAUGGAGGAACACCGGUGGCAAAAGCGGCUCUCUGGACUGUAACUGACACUGAGGCUCGAAAGCGUGGGUAGCAAACAGG
This 252-nucleotide ribosomal RNA is filed under the name uncultured microorganism. Its description in RNAcentral is "partial 16S ribosomal RNA". It matches the Rfam family "Bacterial small subunit ribosomal RNA", at positions 524 to 776 of the family's 1533-position model. The record is from RNAcentral.